RNAcentral lists this ribosomal RNA (1361 nucleotides) under uncultured bacterium. Its description in RNAcentral is "bacterial SSU rRNA". It matches the Rfam family "Bacterial small subunit ribosomal RNA", at positions 28 to 1381 of the family's 1533-position model. The record is from RNAcentral.
AUUGAACGCUGGCUGCAGGCCUAACACAUGCAAGUCGAGCGGUAGCACAGAGAGCUUGCUCUCGGGUGACGAGCGGCGGACGGGUGAGUAAUGUCUGGGAAACUGCCUGAUGGAGGGGGAUAACUACUGGAAACGGUAGCUAAUACCGCAUAACGUCGCAAGACCAAAGUGGGGGACCUUCGGGCCUCAUGCCAUCAGAUGUGCCCAGAUGGGAUUAGCUAGUAGGUGGGGUAAUGGCUCACCUAGGCGACGAUCCCUAGCUGGUCUGAGAGGAUGACCAGCCACACUGGAACUGAGACACGGUCCAGACUCCUACGGGAGGCAGCAGUGGGGAAUAUUGCACAAUGGGCGCAAGCCUGAUGCAGCCAUGCCGCGUGUGUGAAGAAGGCCUUCGGGUUGUAAAGCACUUUCAGCGGGGAGGAAGGCGUUAAGGUUAAUAACCUUGGCGAUUGACGUUACCCGCAGAAGAAGCACCGGCUAACUCCGUGCCAGCAGCCGCGGUAAUACGGAGGGUGCAAGCGUUAAUCGGAAUUACUGGGCGUAAAGCGCACGCAGGCGGUCUGUCAAGUCGGAUGUGAAAUCCCCGGGCUCAACCUGGGAACUGCAUUCGAAACUGGCAGGCUAGAGUCUUGUAGAGGGGGGUAGAAUUCCAGGUGUAGCGGUGAAAUGCGUAGAGAUCUGGAGGAAUACCGGUGGCGAAGGCGGCCCCCUGGACAAAGACUGACGCUCAGGUGCGAAAGCGUGGGGAGCAAACAGGAUUAGAUACCCUGGUAGUCCACGCCGUAAACGAUGUCGAUUUGGAGGUUGUGCCCUUGAGGCGUGGCUUCCGGAGCUAACGCGUUAAAUCGACCGCCUGGGGAGUACGGCCGCAAGGUUAAAACUCAAAUGAAUUGACGGGGGCCCGCACAAGCGGUGGAGCAUGUGGUUUAAUUCGAUGCAACGCGAAGAACCUUACCUGGUCUUGACAUCCACAGAACUUUCCAGAGAUGGAUUGGUGCCUUCGGGAACUGUGAGACAGGUGCUGCAUGGCUGUCGUCAGCUCGUGUUGUGAAAUGUUGGGUUAAGUCCCGCAACGAGCGCAACCCUUAUCCUUUGUUGCCAGCGGUUAGGCCGGGAACUCAAAGGAGACUGCCAGUGAUAAACUGGAGGAAGGUGGGGAUGACGUCAAGUCAUCAUGGCCCUUACGACCAGGGCUACACACGUGCUACAAUGGCAUAUACAAAGAGAAGCGACCUCGCGAGAGCAAGCGGACCUCAUAAAGUAUGUCGUAGUCCGGAUUGGAGUCUGCAACUCGACUCCAUGAAGUCGGAAUCGCUAGUAAUCGUAGAUCAGAAUGCUACGGUGAAUACGUUCCCGAGCCU